RNAcentral lists this unclassified non-coding RNA (374 nucleotides) under uncultured bacterium. Its description in RNAcentral is "contains 16S-23S intergenic spacer region". The record is from RNAcentral.
UCCGGUUUGUCACCGGCAGUCCCAUUAGAGUGCUCAACUAAAUGUGGCAACUAAGGUCGAGGGUUGCGCUCGUUGCGGGACUUAACCCAACAUCUCACGACACGAGCUGGCGACAGCCAUGCAGCACCUGUGUUGCGGUUCCCUUUCGGGCACCCCUGCAUUUCUGCAGGGUUCCGCACAUGUCAAGGGUAGGUAAGGUUUUUCGCGUUGCAUCGAAUUAAACCACAUGCUCCACCGCUUGUGCGGGCCCCCGUCAAUUCCUUUGAGUUUCAACCUUGCGGCCGUACUUCCCAGGCGGAAUACUUAAUGCGUUAGCUGCGGCACCGGCGGUAACCCGCCGACACUUAGUAUUCAUAGUUUAAGGCGUGGACUAC